RNAcentral lists this ribosomal RNA (532 nucleotides) under Escherichia coli. RNAcentral describes it as "partial 23S ribosomal RNA". It matches the Rfam family "Bacterial large subunit ribosomal RNA", at positions 1213 to 1746 of the family's 2925-position model. Lineage: Bacteria; Pseudomonadati; Pseudomonadota; Gammaproteobacteria; Enterobacterales; Enterobacteriaceae. The record is from RNAcentral.
CUGAUGCGUUGUUGGGUAGGGGAGCGUUCUGUAAGCCUGCGAAGGUGUGCUGUGAGGCAUGCUGGAGGUAUCAGAAGUGCGAAUGCUGACAUAAGUAACGAUAAAGCGGGUGAAAAGCCCGCUCGCCGGAAGACCAAGGGUUCCUGUCCAACGUUAAUCGGGGCAGGGUGAGUCGACCCCUAAGGCGAGGCCGAAAGGCGUAGUCGAUGGGAAACAGGUUAAUAUUCCUGUACUUGGUGUUACUGCGAAGGGGGGACGGAGAAGGCUAUGUUGGCCGGGCGACGGUUGUCCCGGUUUAAGCGUGUAGGCUGGUUUUCCAGGCAAAUCCGGAAAAUCAAGGCUGAGGCGUGAUGACGAGGCACUACGGUGCUGAAGCAACAAAUGCCCUGCUUCCAGGAAAAGCCUCUAAGCAUCAGGUAACAUCAAAUCGUACCCCAAACCGACACAGGUGGUCAGGUAGAGAAUACCAAGGCGCUUGAGAGAACUCGGGUGAAGGAACUAGGCAAAAUGGUGCCGUAACUUCGGGAGAAGG